GUGAGGAAUAUUGGUCAAUGGGCGAGAGCCUGAACCAGCCAAGUCGCGUGAAGGAAGAAGGAUCUAUGGUUCGUAAACUUCUUUUGCAGGGGAGUAAAGUGCGGGACGUGUCCUGUUUUGUAUGUACCCUGAGAAUAAGGAUCGGCUAACUCCGUGCCAGCAGCCGCGGUAAUACGGAGGAUCCGAGCGUUAUCCGGAUUUAUUGGGUUUAAAGGGUGCGUAGGUGGUUUGAUAAGUCAGCGGUGAAAGUUUGCAGCUUAACUGUAAAAAUGCCGUUGAAACUGUCGGACUUGAGUGUAAAUGAGGUAGGCGGAAUGUGUGGUGUAGCGGUGAAAUGCAUAGAUAUCACGCAGAACUCCGAUUGCGAAGGCAGCUUACUAAGCUACAACUGACACUGAAGCACGAAAGCGUGGGGAUCAAACAGGAUUAGAAACCCCGGUAGUCC
Molecule: ribosomal RNA, 445 nt
Filed under: uncultured bacterium
Lineage: Bacteria
Description: partial 16S ribosomal RNA
Rfam family: Bacterial small subunit ribosomal RNA
Source: RNAcentral